RNAcentral lists this long non-coding RNA (340 nucleotides) under Gossypium barbadense (sea-island cotton). Its description in RNAcentral is "long non-coding RNA (GBAR_LNC016396)". Lineage: Eukaryota; Viridiplantae; Streptophyta; Magnoliopsida; Malvales; Malvaceae. The record is from RNAcentral.
AGCCAUUCCCUUCCUUCACCGUUGAAUUCUUAUUCAACACCAUAGAGUAAUUUUUUUUUCAAUUUUCAAUUUGUGCCCUCACCAGAGAGAAUGAAGAAGCUGUAACGGGAACCAUCAUCUUCUUCUUCGGUCUUACUGGUAAAUUUCUUUCCUUUCCAUCUCUACGUUUCCCUUUUUUUUCCUUUGAUUGCAGAGGAGACAAGCUGUAAAGGGAUUUCUAUUCCCUUCCCUCCUCACCUUUCCAUCUCUACGUUUCCCUUUUUGUCCUUUGUAUAUUGAGCAUCAAAAGGCAGUUACUAUAAGUAAUGAUUCAACUCACACUCAAAAAAGUUUAAAUUUG